GUUCUACUACGCGAUUAGGUGGCCGGUAACAGCGCUAUGGCCAUCAUUUUUCUUUUUUUCAUUGCGUAAUAAGACCCCUGAAGAACCGCCAUACAAAUGACCCUCUAUUUUGUGUCACUAUCUCCCGGUUUAUAAGCUUCAUAUCGCAGAACCUAACCAUACCACCUCGUAUUUUAUAUCAGAAAUCUCUUGGACAAAAAUGCCGAGCAUAUAAAGGUUGGCUGUAAAGUUCGUAGGCUAACAUAGAAAUAAUGUUUUUAAUUUGAUAAUUCAAUAAACAUGCUUCGAGAGCGGUAACGAUUAUAGCGGUAAAAAAUGUUCAGGCUCAAAACAGGCUUCAUUCUAAGCCUCUUCAUUAAUGCUCACUUGACAAACGAGGCAGUUCGAUAUUUUUAACAAACCCAGAUUUCAAACGAAAACCGUUUGUAAAUAUGACGAUCUUUGCAGUCACAAACCGUAAGUAAUAUUUCUCUUUAAAGUACCGAAAAUAAUUGAAUAUUUAAUUUAAUUUAUUUUUAUGGUUGAUGGUCAUACUCGAUUUCCUAUGCAUAAUCAUAAUAUUAAUAAUGAAACUUCCAACCACGCACAUUAUUCAUUGAGAAUUGAAGUACGCAAGAAUGAAAAACUUAAUUGUGUUGGCCCUCGUUAUGGCUCUUACGGUGGUUACCGUGGUCUAUGGGCAAUGUCCUCACUGUCAGCCGAAGAAUGAGAUGCCAGUACCCUAAAUAAACACACAAAAUAAAGCCGCUUCCUUACAUGUGAA
Molecule: long non-coding RNA, 763 nt
Organism: Pieris brassicae (large cabbage white)
Lineage: Eukaryota; Metazoa; Arthropoda; Insecta; Lepidoptera; Pieridae
Exons: 2
Source: RefSeq, a predicted model, not a curated record